GAUGAACGCUGGCGGCGUGCCUAACACAUGCAAGUCGAACGGAGUCGUUUUGGAAAUCUCUUCGGAGAUGGAAUUCUCGACUUAGUGGCGGACGGGUGAGUAACGCGUGAGCAAUCUGCCUUUAAGAGGGGGAUAACAGUCGGAAACGGCUGCUAAUACCGCAUAAAGCAUUAAAUUCGCAUGUUUUUGAUGCCAAAGGAGCAAUCCGCUUUUAGAUGAGCUCGCGUCUGAUUAGCUAGUUGGCGGGGUAACGGCCCACCAAGGCGACGAUCAGUAGCCGGACUGAGAGGUUGAACGGCCACAUUGGGACUGAGACACGGCCCAGACGCCUACGGGAGGCGGCAGUGGGGAAUAUUGCGCAAUGGGGGAAACCCUGACGCAGCAACGCCGCGUGAUUGAAGAAGGCCUUCGGGUUGUAAAGAUCUUUAAUCAGGGACGAAACAAAUGACGGUACCUGAAGAAUAAGCUCCGGCUAACUACGUG
Molecule: ribosomal RNA, 483 nt
Filed under: uncultured bacterium
Lineage: Bacteria
Description: partial 16S ribosomal RNA
Rfam family: Bacterial small subunit ribosomal RNA
Source: RNAcentral